CCCGGAAAACUAUUUCCUGCCUUUCUGCAAGCCUAUACGCAUGGGAUAUUCUAAAACGGGUGGACAUCGAUUUUUCAGUUGCUACCGGGAAUAAUUGAUUUGGAUCAGCCAAAAUUAGAUGAGAAAUUUGAGGAGCAAACAGCGUCUUCUUUACGAAGCCCGUCCCCAUCACGCUAUUUUCGACCAGACAGCCCCAUAACAAGAAUCCAUGGCCUCUGAACGACUUCGGAGGAGCAGAUGAAACAGACGCUAUUCUGCCGUUCUGUACGAACGGCUUUACCAAAACUCCAAACAAACAGCCGUUCUACUCCAAAGAUAUAAACCCUGCAGAAUCUACAAAGCCCGCGGGAUCCACGAUUCUUCAGAACAGCCGGCAUAAAAAAACAGAGACCCCUCCCAGGCGUAUACAGACACAGAAGGCACAACACGUCGAUCGGAAGAGUUCGAGGAGGAAGGGGGCGCCCAGGACAUACACAGUAAAACAUUGAAGUCUGAUCAUUUCAACGCUUUAAAUGACAAUUCUGAGGUAGAUGAUUUGCUGUUGUAUGAGGCUGCAAGACAACUUGAUACAGCCAAUUCUGAGAUUGAGACUAUCUUGAUUGAAUAUUGUUUCUAUCAGGACCCAGAACCUGAAAUAGAUCAUGAUAGGUUUCUCACAGCCUUUUACAGGGCUCUUAAAGCCAGAAAGGCUCAGCUACACAAACAUAUGUUUGUUUUACUAAGACAUCAAUACAGUCAAGAUCUAUCCUUCUGACAUAGAACAAUGCCCCACUUGUUAAACAACAAUCUGAUUAAAAAACGCAAAAACAAGCACCAAAAACUGUACCUAACAUGGAUGAGACGGGGCGACAACGCCCAUAAUUCAACACACGGUGAUAACAGAUCCCAGCCGAACUCAUAGCCUUAAUUAACCAAAUGAAUUAGACAAGGGCAACAUCUUGAACACACACACACCUCCUUUAACUCCAUGUCCGAAGAGUCUGAGCAACAAUACAAUGUUUUUGAGGAAUUGGAAAAUUGUGUAAUAAAAUCAGAACGGCGAUGGUAUUGAUAGAAGUGUUCGUGUUGUGUACCGAAAU
This is a long non-coding RNA of Oncorhynchus tshawytscha (Chinook salmon), 1079 nucleotides long. The record is from Ensembl. NCBI's taxonomy places the organism in Eukaryota, Metazoa, Chordata, Actinopteri, Salmoniformes, Salmonidae.